This 73-nucleotide transfer RNA is filed under the name Streptomyces phage Karimac. Its description in RNAcentral is "tRNA-Phe". It matches the Rfam family "tRNA". From Rfam's summary of the family: Transfer RNA (tRNA) molecules are approximately 80 nucleotides in length. Their secondary structure includes four short double-helical elements and three loops (D, anti-codon, and T loops). RNAcentral also lists the same sequence under 1 other name. Lineage: Duplodnaviria; Heunggongvirae; Uroviricota; Caudoviricetes; Stanwilliamsviridae. The record is from RNAcentral.
GGUCCUUUGGCAGAGAUGGUAAUGCGCCGGUCUGAAAAGCCGGAUAUCUCAGUUCGAUUCUGAGGGGGACCAC